GGACUACAGGCGCCCGCCAUCACGCCCGGCUAAUUUUGUGUAUUUUUUAGUAGAGACGGGGUUUCACCGUGUUAGCCAGGAUGGUCUCGAUCUCCUGACCUCGUGAUCCGCCCGCCUCGGCCUCCCAAAGUGCUGGGAUUACAGUCUGGAGCCACCGCGCCCGGCCCUGAGAUGUCUCCAAGUGGUGGUGAGACAUCAUCAAAUCCUAAGAAACAAUAUACUUGAAGAUUUUUCACUCACUGCAUCAAAGGUCACCAGGGUCUCCGUAUCCCCACGUCGCCAUUCCUAACAAGAAUGAGGCAGAUGAAAACCAUACGCAAAAACACAACAAAUAGAAAAGAGAUUCCACCAAAAGCAAUCAUCAAGAAAAUGUCUCCAGUGAGAUUCCCAUUGUUGUGAAGGGGCGUGUAAGUAUAUUUGCACUCAGACAGCUUCAGAAGUGCUUGCCUGAUGAAA
Long non-coding RNA from Homo sapiens (human), 456 nucleotides. Lineage: Eukaryota; Metazoa; Chordata; Mammalia; Primates; Hominidae. The record is from Ensembl.